Molecule: ribosomal RNA, 481 nt
Filed under: Zootoca vivipara (common lizard)
Lineage: Eukaryota; Metazoa; Chordata; Lepidosauria; Squamata; Lacertidae
Description: partial 16S ribosomal RNA
Rfam family: Bacterial large subunit ribosomal RNA
Source: RNAcentral
CCCAGUGACUCUUUUAAACGGCCGCGGUAUCCUAACCGUGCAAAGGUAGCAUAAUCACUUGUCUCUUAAAUAGAGACUAGAAUGAAUGGCUAAAUGAGGACUAAUCUGUCUCUUACGGACCAACCAAUGAAAUUAAUCUUUCAGUACAAAAGCUGAAAUAAAAACAUAAGACGAGAAGACCCUGUGGAGCUUCAAACCAAACACACCCUGCAUGCUCCUCAGGUUUUUAGUUGGGGCGACUUCGGAGCACAAUAAAACCUCCAAAAUUUUUUAUCUUCAAGAUUAACAAACCAAAAACUUUAUUAGACCCAGCAAUGUAUAACAUUGUCUGAUCACUGAACCAAGUUACCCCAGGGAUAACAGCGCCAUCCCCUCCUAGAGUCCAUAUCGACAAGGGGGUUUACGACCUCGAUGUUGGAUCAGGACACCCCAAUGGUGCAGCCGCCAUUAAAGGUUCGUUUGUUCAACGAUUAAUUAGUCC